Molecule: RNase P RNA, 279 nt
Filed under: Candidatus Nitrosopelagicus sp.
Lineage: Archaea; Thermoproteati; Nitrososphaerota
Description: RNase P RNA component
Rfam family: Archaeal RNase P
About the family: Ribonuclease P (RNase P) is a ubiquitous endoribonuclease, found in archaea, bacteria and eukarya as well as chloroplasts and mitochondria. Its best characterised activity is the generation of mature 5'-ends of tRNAs by cleaving the 5'-leader elements of precursor-tRNAs.
Source: RNAcentral
GUGAGCUAGUGGACGAAACGCUGCUACGGCAGAGGAAACUCCUCCCUUCAUACAGGAAAUGUGAUCUGGAGAUAGAUAGUCAGAGAUGGCUGGCAACAGAACAGAAAAAAAUCCCAUCUGGAGUACAGUGAUGGUACUGCCUGAGGUUUCCAGAGACGGAAUGAAAAUCUGCCCCACAUGAAGCAAGGUCAAAUCGAACCAUAGGUUCCUGUAACAGGUUCAGGUAGACCGCAUAGCGAAAUAUCGUUUAGAACAGAAGGAGGGUUACGGCUAGCACUC